RNAcentral lists this ribosomal RNA (253 nucleotides) under uncultured bacterium. Its description in RNAcentral is "partial 16S ribosomal RNA". It matches the Rfam family "Bacterial small subunit ribosomal RNA", at positions 524 to 776 of the family's 1533-position model. The record is from RNAcentral.
GACGUAGGGCGCGAGCGUUGUCCGGAUUUAUUGGGCGUAAAGAGCUCGUAGGCGGCUUGUCGCGUCGACUGUGAAAACCCGCGGCUCAACUGCGGGCUUGCAGUCGAUACGGGCAGGGUAGAGUUUGGUAGGGGAGACUGGAAUUCCUGGUGUAGCGGUGAAAUGCGCAGAUAUCAGGAGGAACACCGGUGGCGAAGGCGGGUCUCUGGGCAACAACUGACGCUGAGGAGCGAAAGCGUGGGGAGCGAACAGG